UUCUAGAGUCCGACCUGCCGGAUGGCUGCGUUGCGCUGAGCCAAGCACAGCUUAUAUUCACCGUGGGUAAUGACGGUGCUUAUCAGAUAAAAAAUCAGUGGUCAGAUCAUUUCCCUUCGGCCGAACGCACUUCGGAAAACGACGGUGUGGAUCAGGAUUAUAUUUGCUUGUUGACCACAAGGCACUGCCAGUUGUGAGCAUGGAAGCUCCAACCAUUAUAUGCCAGGCCCUGAAGGAGCAAGGUGUGCAGUACAUGUUCGGCGUGGUCGGCAUCCCCGUGAUGGAGGUGGCUGUAGCGGCCCAGCAAGUCGGAAUGCACUACAUCGGGAUGCGCAACGAGCAGUCGGCGGCGUACGCGGCACAGGCGAUAGGCUUCCUGACGCAGCGGCCGGCCGUCUGCCUGGCAG
Pollicipes pollicipes is the source of this 407-nucleotide long non-coding RNA. RefSeq lists it as uncharacterized. The transcript is spliced from 4 exons. Lineage: Eukaryota; Metazoa; Arthropoda; Thecostraca; Pollicipedomorpha; Pollicipedidae. The record is from RefSeq and is a predicted model, not a curated record.